UCUCUCUCUCUCUUCCUCUCACAUAACACACAGAGAAAAUUUUCCUGUUACAAAUUGUAAGAAUUAUUUUUCCUGACAUCUAUGCCAAAAACAUGGCUAUUCUCUAGCAAUUUGCCAAAACUUGAUAAUGCUAAAAUAACGUCUUGCACAUACUAUCCCAAAAAUGAGAAGAGAACUGAGUUGCAGAAGAAAUCCUUCAUGUAGAAGCCUUGAGACAAGAAUACUAGCUAUGAACAAAAAAUAUCCUAUGUGAUGGGAAUUUCUGUGUGAACUGCUUCCAAAACCCAAGUUAAUCUAUAUUGAAAGUGCCAUUUUCAAGUUGAAUGAGUUGUUAUAAAACCUUACUGUUACUGUUUCUAUUUUUGUCCUUGUUAUUAUUCUAAGCACACUUAUUGUUUGGGGAGCAAUGAAAAUUGUAUAAUGUUCAAAGGUAGAAAGUAUCAGUAUUUAGUGCAAGCCUUUUGUCACUCUUCUCACAACAAAUCACUUGUAAUAGCAAUGGUGUAAAAAAUGGCGAUGGCCCCACCAAACUUGCAGCAUUCUGCACUUCAGUUUACCAGGGCUACACUAGCUGCAGGUUAAAACCAGCAUGACUAAGUCAGUCAAGGAAAAUGCUUUACCCUCAAGGCUUUCUAUUCCACUCCACUAUUAUGGGGAUGUCUCAGCCACUUUCAAAGGAAUGGGAGAUUUGUAGGGUAGAAGCUACCAAUUAUGUGUAACCAGGAGUGAAUGCAGACUUCAGAACACCAAAACUUUCCACAUAUCACAUGGUAGUUAUAUUACUGACAUUUUUUGCAACUUCCUGAUAUUUUGAAAAUCCUCAGAUUGUAAUUUAGAUUAUUAAACCCUUGGUUUGAGAGAGCAAUGGGAAAGCAAAAGUUCACUACUGCUCUUUCUCAAAAGAAGGGCUGUGUCCAAAAAAGGGGGUUUGGCUUUAAACACAUUCUUGUCUAAUGCAAUCUAAUCUAACCACCAAGUCAAACCUUAAUACAGAAAGAAGAUCUUAUCCUGAAACAACUGGUAUGGUUGCAUAUGUUUUCUGUGCAUAUGUGUGUGUUCUGUUUAUGUAUGUAUAGAUGUGGUCAUGACUUAUGUGGGUACAAGCCAAAAAUAGUUAAAAGCACAGUGUAUAUUCUAAUGAUGUUUAGUGCCAUGACACUAAGUGAAACAGCAGAAGUAGGAAAUCUCAUGGCAAACUUAUUCUUGUGCUAUGGAACUGAACAAGUCCUCUAGCAAGAAGAAGCCCAAGAAAAGAAACAGUUAUACAGUUUGUCUUCUUUCUUAAGAUGAAAAGUGAAAUCAAUUUGGGAAGUAAAAAUACAGGUCACAGGAAGAACAGGAAAGGAACAAAGAGACAGAAGGAGUAGUUGCAGAGAGAAAUGUCAGGUAAGCCUAUUUGGUGAAAGCACUUGAAAGCACUUUGAAAAAUAACAAUGGUCUCCAAGGAUUUCUGAUGGAGCAGUCUCACAUUCUGUAAUUUGCACUGAAGGUUCUCACAUACAAGCAGCAUCUUGAAAUGUCACCUUUUCUCAUCUCUAAUCUCUCCAGUGGAUGUCCAGCUAAGCACCUGGGGAUCUCACAGCAACUAAGCUGUUAAACUUUUAUCACCCGAAAGAGUAAACCUUGUCACCUUGAACAGGAUUUUCUUCACGGGAAUCUAGUACUAUGAAUUGGAGUCAGGACUUUUCUGCUAUUACCAUCCAAAAUGUAAAACCCAAGUGUUAAUAUUCUGUAAUGAAGACAUGCAGAAGGGGCAGUAAAUACCUCCAGAAAGGUAAGGAGCAUAGGCAGGUAGUGUUGUUGGUCCAGAACUUGUGAACUGUCUCACGUCUAACACUGUGACCUUGGGUAAGCAGCCUGACUUGCCUGCAUUUCAGUUUUGUCUUCUCUAAAUUAGUGCACUUUGGCGCCAAAGAAACUUUAAGACAUGUAAUCAAUGCAUACACACAGUUUUGAGGGUAUUACUUUUUGCAGGUACUAAUUUUGAUAUUUGGUAUUCUAAGACAUUGUUUGAUUUUUCUCCUUUGGUACAUGCUGGUGACUUCUCUGUACAUUUAAAAUCCUGAACAGUUCACAGAACCAAAAUAGAGCAGGACUCUUGGAGAUAACCGAACUGUGAGGCCAAUAUGGAAAAAUGCUACAGAGUUUGAAAAGCAAUGUGUGGAAGAGAUAGUGGAAGGAAGAAAAAAUGAUGGCAAGAAAGGACAUGACUGCUUGUGAUUGCAGUCCUCAAGCCAGCUCAGUAAUGCUUCUGGGAAAGCAAAAAUGGGAUGUAAGAUGAAUGAGAGACUGGUGCAGAAGAGGAGAGAGACUGCAGAGCUGUCCCUACAGACUCUGCAUAUAUGAGGUGGAAGUAAGCAGUUACUACACAACUGUACUCAUCAUGUGGUUCCAGAUGGCUGCUGCUUCGAAGUUCGGCAAAGAAUGGCUGCAGCGGCGGCGGAUUGAUCAUCCCUUUGCUGGAAGGACGCGGCACUACAUUGUUGCUGAUCAACAGCGCCACUUUCUGCUGAAAGAAAAUCAUUACAUCUCGGGGAGAGGCAAUCUGGUAAACUGAUUUCAGUGACGAUGCAAAUCACAAACCUUCCUCCUUGGUAGCUGGCUGGCUGUAUAAGAAGCUUCUUCAUCAAAAUACGCAAAGUGCAUUCCACAAAUGUUGCAGUCUGAUAAUGAGGCCUGAUGCUUAGAUGGAAAUGGAAAAAUGCAUGUUUGCUUUAGAGUUUUGUUCAAACAAUUUCAUUCUUACUUCCCCACCAGCAUCACCACCAUCUUGACCAUUCAUGCAUCACAACCUUAUGUCCAUAGUCUAAUGGAUGAUGUAAAUGCUGUGAUUUACACAUAAAAAAAAAUCUUGGGAAGACUGCAUUAUUUCAUGUCAUUGCCUAUUUCAACAAAUGCACAUAAGAGUUCAUGAAGAUUCUUCACGGAAACAGACUUUUUUAAAAAAUAUUUCCAUGUAUAAUCCAGUGGGUAUUGAUAACUGCUAAAGCUCACAAACUA
This is a long non-coding RNA of Chiroxiphia lanceolata (lance-tailed manakin), 3000 nucleotides long. RefSeq lists it as uncharacterized. The transcript is spliced from 3 exons. The record is from RefSeq and is a predicted model, not a curated record. Lineage: Eukaryota; Metazoa; Chordata; Aves; Passeriformes; Pipridae.